RNAcentral lists this ribosomal RNA (518 nucleotides) under uncultured bacterium. Its description in RNAcentral is "bacterial SSU rRNA". It matches the Rfam family "Bacterial small subunit ribosomal RNA", at positions 26 to 518 of the family's 1533-position model. The record is from RNAcentral.
AGGACGAACGCUGGCGGCGUGCCUAAUACAUGCAAGUCGAACGGUCUUUCUAUGGAAGCUUGCUUCCACUGAGAAGAUAGUGGCGAACGGGUGAGUAACACGUGGGUAACCUGCCCAUAAGAGGGGGAUAACAUCCGGAAACGGGUGCUAAUACCGCAUAGUUUCUUGAUCGCAUGAUUGAGAAAGGAAAGACGGCCUUUGUGCUGUCGCUUAUGGAUGGACCCGCGGCGUAUUAGUUAGUUGGUGAGGUAACGGCUCACCAAGACGAUGAUACGUAGCCGACCUGAGAGGGUGAUCGGCCACAUUGGGACUGAGACACGGCCCAAACUCCUACGGGAGGCAGCAGUAGGGAAUCUUCCGCAAUGGACGAAAGUCUGACGGAGCAACGCCGCGUGAGUGAAGAAAGGUUUUCGGAUCGUAAAACUCUGUUGUCAGAGAAGAACAAGUUGGAGAGUAACUGCUCCAGCCUUGACGGUAUCUGACCAGAAAGCCACGGCUAACUACGUGCCAGCAGCGGC